UCUUCUUCUCUUCUUCUUCUUCUCCUCAAACUAACGUUGGCUGCAAAGUUUCUUUUUAAUGGUGCCUUAAAUUACUUAGGUUUGACUCAUGCUAAAAUAGUGAGGUGGCAAGCAUGCAUGGGGGUUUAGGUGUCAACUUUAGAAUAAAUACAAGUAACUCAUCCUUGUUAAUGACACAUGUCCUCCAUUUUAUUUUAUUUUAUUUUUAUUUACUCAAUUCUGAAUAUUCUAUAAAUCAUAUCAAAAUUUUAUUAUUUACUCUUAGG
This 266-nucleotide long non-coding RNA is filed under the name Musa acuminata (dwarf banana). RNAcentral's name for it is "long non-coding RNA (MACU_LNC008435)". The record is from RNAcentral. Lineage: Eukaryota; Viridiplantae; Streptophyta; Magnoliopsida; Zingiberales; Musaceae.